CCGGUUGAUCCUGCCGGACCCGACUGCUAUUUGGGUGAGGAUAAGCCAUGCGAGUUGAAUGGGAUACCUAAAGUUCCCAUGGCAGACUGCUCAGUAACACAUGAUCAACUUACCCUAUAGAGAAAAAUAACCUCGGGAAACUGAGGAUAAUGUUUCAUAGUUGAAUUGGCUUGGAAAAGUUUUUCGACGAAAGGGGUAAAAAAAAUGGUUUUUAUCUGCUAUAGGAUAGGAUCGUGUUCGAUUAUGGUUGUUGGUGAGGUAAUGGCUCACCAAGCCGAUAAUCGAUAGGGGCCGUGAGAGCGGGAGCCCCGAGAUGGGUACUGAGACAACGACCCAGGCCUUACGAGGCGCAGCAGGCGCGAAACCUCCGCAAUACACGAAAGUGUGACGGGGUUACCCAAAGUGUUCAAUUUUGAACUGUGGUAGGUGAGUAAUGUUCCCUACUAGAAAGGAGAGGGCAAGGCUGGUGCCAGCCGCCGCGGUAAAACCAGCUCUUCAAGUGGUCGGGAUAAUUAUUGGGCUUAAAGUGUCCGUAGCCGGUUUAGUAAGUUCCUGGUAAAAUCGGGUAGCUUAACUAUCUAUAUGCUAGGAAUACUACUAUACUAGAGGGCGGGAGAGGUCUGAGGUACUACAGGGGUAGGGGUGAAAUCUUAUAAUCCUUGUUGGACCACCAGUGGCGAAGGCGUCAGACUGGAACGCGCCUGACGGUGAGGGACGAAAGCCAGGGGAGCGAACCGGAUUAGAUACCCGGGUAGUCCUGGCCGUAAACGAUGCAUACUAGGUGAUGGCACGGCCAUGAGCCGUGUCAGUGCCGUAGGGAAACCGUUAAGUGUGCCGCCUGGGAAGUACGGUCGCAAGGCUAAAACUUAAAGGGAUUGGCGGGGGAGCACCACAAGGGGUGAAGCCUGCGGUUCAAUUGGACCCAACGCCGGAAAACUUACCAGGGGAGACAGCAGUAUGACGGUCAGGUUGACGACCUUACCUAACGAGCUGAGAGGAGGUGCAUGGCCGUCGCCAGUUCGUGCCGUGAGGUAUCCUGUUAAGUCAGGCAACGAACGAGAUCCGCACCUUUAUUUGCCACCAAGAAGUCACGACUUCGUUGGGAACACUAAAGGGACCGCCGUCGAUAAGACGGAGGAAGGAGCGGGCAAAGGCAGGUCAGUAUGCCCCGAAACCCCUGGGCUACACGCGGGCUGCAAUGGUAUGAACAAUGGGCUGUGACUCCG
This 1226-nucleotide ribosomal RNA is filed under the name Promethearchaeota archaeon. Its description in RNAcentral is "bacterial SSU rRNA". It matches the Rfam family "Archaeal small subunit ribosomal RNA", at positions 4 to 1213 of the family's 1478-position model. Lineage: Archaea; Promethearchaeati; Promethearchaeota. The record is from RNAcentral.